RNAcentral lists this ribosomal RNA (1312 nucleotides) under Salmonella enterica subsp. enterica serovar Muenchen. RNAcentral describes it as "partial 23S ribosomal RNA". It matches the Rfam family "Bacterial large subunit ribosomal RNA", at positions 1512 to 2802 of the family's 2925-position model. RNAcentral also lists the same sequence under 2 other names. Lineage: Bacteria; Pseudomonadati; Pseudomonadota; Gammaproteobacteria; Enterobacterales; Enterobacteriaceae. The record is from RNAcentral.
UUAAGCGUGUAGGUGUGUGUUCCAGGUAAAUCCGGUUCACUUUAACACUGAGGCGUGACGACGAGGCACUACGGUGCUGAAGCAACAAAUGCCCUGCUUCCAGGAAAAGCCUCUAAGCAUCAGGUAACAUCAAAUCGUACCCCAAACCGACACAGGUGGUCAGGUAGAGAAUACCAAGGCGCUUGAGAGAACUCGGGUGAAGGAACUAGGCAAAAUGGUGCCGUAACUUCGGGAGAAGGCACGCUGACACGUAGGUGAAGUGAUUUACUCAUGGAGCUGAAGUCAGUCGAAGAUACCAGCUGGCUGCAACUGUUUAUUAAAAACACAGCACUGUGCAAACACGAAAGUGGACGUAUACGGUGUGACGCCUGCCCGGUGCCGGAAGGUUAAUUGAUGGGGUCAGCGCAAGCGAAGCUCCUGAUCGAAGCCCCGGUAAACGGCGGCCGUAACUAUAACGGUCCUAAGGUAGCGAAAUUCCUUGUCGGGUAAGUUCCGACCUGCACGAAUGGCGUAAUGAUGGCCAGGCUGUCUCCACCCGAGACUCAGUGAAAUUGAACUCGCUGUGAAGAUGCAGUGUACCCGCGGCAAGACGGAAAGACCCCGUGAACCUUUACUAUAGCUUGACACUGAACAUUGAGCCUUGAUGUGUAGGAUAGGUGGGAGGCUUUGAAGUGUGGACGCCAGUCUGCAUGGAGCCGACCUUGAAAUACCACCCUUUAAUGUUUGAUGUUCUAACGUGGACCCGUUACCCGGGUUGCGGACAGUGUCUGGUGGGUAGUUUGACUGGGGCGGUCUCCUCCUAAAGAGUAACGGAGGAGCACGAAGGUUGGCUAAUCCUGGUCGGACAUCAGGAGGUUAGUGCAAUGGCAUAAGCCAGCUUGACUGCGAGCGUGACGGCGCGAGCAGGUGCGAAAGCAGGUCAUAGUGAUCCGGUGGUUCUGAAUGGAAGGGCCAUCGCUCAACGGAUAAAAGGUACUCCGGGGAUAACAGGCUGAUACCGCCCAAGAGUUCAUAUCGACGGCGGUGUUUGGCACCUCGAUGUCGGCUCAUCACAUCCUGGGGCUGAAGUAGGUCCCAAGGGUAUGGCUGUUCGCCAUUUAAAGUGGUACGCGAGCUGGGUUUAGAACGUCGUGAGACAGUUCGGUCCCUAUCUGCCGUGGGCGCUGGAGAACUGAGGGGGGCUGCUCCUAGUACGAGAGGACCGGAGUGGACGCAUCACUGGUGUUCGGGUUGUCAUGCCAAUGGCACUGCCCGGUAGCUAAAUGCGGAAGAGAUAAGUGCUGAAAGCAUCUAAGCACGAAACUUGCCCCGA